UAUAUUUAUUAACAUUAACGACAUUUUGGUCUCCGUCAUGUUGUUAUUUGACUCAUAAAUGAAAUUUGUAAAAUUAUCUAUGACGUGAACACGAUAUUUUUUGUUGUUUUCUUUUGCUUGUUUCUUAAACCGAAAAAUAAAUUAUCUUCAACUCAUUACUCACUUCAUAAAUUUAUUUAUAUAAGCAUUUAAUUUAUUAAUUAAUUCAUUAUUAAUUCGAGUCGAAAGAAGAUGUUGAAGACACUUUUUUUUUUUUUUUUUUUCCUCAGGCAGUAUUUUAGCCGCCUCCAUGCUGGGGUCCUUUGAGUCUGUGGCGCGGGAUGUCGCGUAUUCACUUUACCAGUUUUGAAACAGCCAUACUGUCGACAUGUGAUAUAUAUGUGUGUUUAUAUAUAUAUAUUUAAACAGUUUAACUUUAUUUUCAUGUCAUUACUGUAAAAAAUGUUUUCCUUCAAUCAGAAUUGCUGGUUUAUACGGAAGGUGGUGAGAUGGCGAGCUGUAGCCAGUAUCGGGUGGUCAGUGGUGCUGCUGCCUCCCAUCACCGCUCUGCUCGUCUUCUUCAUCAGGUUCAGUGUGUUUCACCCCACACACUGGCUCUCGGGAUGUUUGGGUUUGCUCACAGAGGCGAGUACACUUUUCUCCAUGUUCCUGCUCUGUGCAGCUGUUAUUCUCCUCGCCUUCUUCAACCUGCAGUAUUACACGGUCGUUCCCUCCAUCCCGUGUUCUCGAGUGGCUCUCCUGGCUGAAGUGCUCCACCCUCGUCAGUGUGUUCACUCUCUGGUGCACUGCGCGGUCGGGAUGCUGGUGAUGUGGUGUGUGUGCGUGAUGGCAGGCGGCCGCUAUCACGCUCUCCACUCUCCCUGCACACACGGCGACAGUGUUGACGUGUGUCUGAACGAGUAUCACAUGUUCAUGCUGCUGGCCGGAGCGUUUAUGGGUUACUCUCACAGUUUAAUGGGCGUCGUCCAAAACGUCCACUACGUCUCCUUUCACAUCAUACAGCAGUAUAAGUACAUGCGCUUUAAAGGCUCUGUGUGGUGGCUGCUGAAGUGCAGUGCUGUUCAGUCUUUAUAUUCAGUCAGGAAUUACGCCAUCCUCUAUUUCCUCUUCGGACACAUCCCCAGGACGUGGAUCUCCAACACACUGAAUCUGCACAUAGACAGUUCUGUGCGCUCUCUGGACUCGUUUGGAGGACUGUGUGACGUGUCGUUGUUCUACCAGCUGUGGAUCAGUGGAACAUUCCUGCUGCUCACCUGGUACCUCACCGUGCUGCUCUUCAGGAUUUACGUCACAGAGCCGUACAGGUUUCCGGUGCAGUCGUCAUUCGCUGAGGACGCAGAAGAGUGUCUUCCUAAAGUCCUGACUGAGAAGAAUGCCUUGGUCAUGAAGUUUCUGGCGCUGCAGGAUUUGGCGUUGCUUUCCCAGCAUUCCCCUGCACGUAGACAGGAAGUCUUCAGCCUCAGUCAGCCAGGUGGUCACCCUCACAACUGGAACGCUAUUAGUAAGGAGUGUUUGUCACUGUUGAGUGAAUUAACACAGCGUCUCAUCGCUCAUCACGACGCCGUGGCGUCUAACGGCAGAGCAAAACCUCCGUCUGACUCCAGAUCCAGCUCAUCCUGCUCAGUGACAUCGGGGACGGAGGAUCUUUCUCAGAGUCCUUUCCACAGUGCUCUGAGCAGGACUCCUGGCUCAGUGUUCGGUUCCGCAGUGAGCGGUGUGAACUUGCCCCUGACCGCCCCGUUCACCCCCGACCUGACCUCCCCAUUCUCCAGCCCCGCCUUCAGACCCCUGUUCAGCUCACAAUUGGCCCAGAAACCCUGGUUGGGUUCGGUCCAGAGUCCUCACGUCACCCGGAGGAACCCCAAACUGUGGAGCACGUCCACUGACUCGCAGACCAAUGGGAGCCCUCUGCCAUCUCCUGAGCCUGCCCCCAAACCUGCAGGUGAACGGAAACCCAGCUUUCUGUCCCAGUGGCUCCAGAACAGGAAGGAACAGGUUAAAGGUUUCUUGGCAAAGCGUGUGCUGGUUGUGUAUUUAUUUAAUAAGCUGCCUGAGGCUUCGAGUCAAGCUCUGUUUGCUGAUAGCCAAGCGCACAUCUGGGCUCUGGAAGGAUUGUCUCAUCUGGUGUCUGCUUCGUACUCUGAGGACAAGUAUGGAGUGGUGCAGACUACGUUACCCAGCAUCCUCAGCAGCAUGCUGUCUCUGCAGGAGGCUGUGGACCGUCACUUUAAGCUUCCUCACGCCUCCAGUAAGCCGCUGAAGACCUCGUGCAGUUUGGGCGACUCGACGUAUAAAACCCUGCGCUUUGCUCUGAGGGCGGCUCUGAAAACCGCCAUCUACAGGAUCACCACCACCUUCAGGGAGCACUUACAGUAAACUCCUCCCAUUUAUUUCAUUUACAUCCAUAAUAAACAGCAGCUCGCGUCAGGAGACCAGACCACCAGUCACGGGAGUCGUCAUGUGAUCUGUCUGUGGGCGUGGCCUGACUGUGGGUGUGGCCUGACUUCAGAAUUUCCGACUUUUUAUUUCAACAUCUACAUGAUCUUCAGUGGAAGCUUGUGUAAUGGAAAGUGGGCGGGGCUAAUCCUGGAUAAUGUGUAAUCGUAAGGAUGAUGUCACUCAACACUGUUGAUGCCAAGUGAGCUAGCCAAGUUAGCUUUGUGAGUGAAUCUAGUGAAGAAAAAACCCCAACCCUGGAUAGUGACGAGAGAGAGCGAGAGAGUUAGCCUGGUGAGCUGAGACCAAGUAACUGAACUUGAGCAAGAGCUAACAUAGUGACUGAAGGUUGAGCUAGCUACUGUAGCUAGCUUAUAUAGCAGUGCUGUCAGUGUUCCAGCGGAGCAGCAGAAGAGACUUCAGCAGUUCCUGGAAUAUAAGGAGUAGCACUUCCACCUCCAUCUGUGACCGACGGACGGAGACGCAGGAGUCGCUGCUCGGCGAGAUGUUUGUACCAGCAGCUCGGAUUUGCCUGGAUUUGUUUUGUUUUUGUCUGCGAAGUCUUUGGCGUCCAUCUUUAACCUGCGUCUCUCAGCUGCUCCUCACCUUCCUGCUGCAGAUGGACCGGUGUCACCUGUUAAACUUUGGGGUUUCUGCCUUUAUUCGGAAAAAAUAUUAAUAAACUUUUCUACACGUUUUCUCGGUUUGUUCUGUCGCUCAUCCUUUCCUUCACUGGCCUCUUUAUAAGGAACGGUGCUGUAAAAAUUACCAAUAAAAAAAAACAAACAGUGUUCA
RNA transcript from Ictalurus furcatus (blue catfish), 3231 nucleotides. It is a transcript of the gene named NDC1 transmembrane nucleoporin, with no coding region annotated. The record is from RefSeq and is a predicted model, not a curated record. The transcript is spliced from 18 exons. Lineage: Eukaryota; Metazoa; Chordata; Actinopteri; Siluriformes; Ictaluridae.